GACGAACGCUGGCGGCGUGCUUAACACAUGCAAGUCGAACGGAAAGGCCCUGCUUUUGUGGGGUGCUCGAGUGGCGAACGGGUGAGUAACACGUGAGUAACCUGCCCUUGACUUUGGGAUAACUUCAGGAAACUGGGGCUAAUACCGGAUAGGAGCUCCUGCUGCAUGGUGGGGGUUGGAAAGUUUCGGCGGUUGGGGAUGGACUCGCGGCUUAUCAGCUUGUUGGUGGGGUAGUGGCUUACCAAGGCUUUGACGGGUAGCCGGCCUGAGAGGGUGACCGGCCAAAUGGGGACUGGGAUACGGCCCAGACUCCUACGGGAGGGAGCAGUGGGGAAUAUUGCACAAGGGGGGGAAGCCUGGUGCAGCAACGCCGCGGGCGGGAUGACGGCCUUCGGGUUGUAACCCGUUUUCGCCUGGGACGAAGGGGGGGUGACGGUAAUGGGGAAAGAAGCACCGGCUAACUACGU
This 467-nucleotide ribosomal RNA is filed under the name uncultured bacterium. Its description in RNAcentral is "partial 16S ribosomal RNA". It matches the Rfam family "Bacterial small subunit ribosomal RNA", at positions 28 to 506 of the family's 1533-position model. The record is from RNAcentral.